UGUACCCUAGUCCACUGGUAUUGGAGGGUGGAUCCUAGUCCACUGGUGUUGGAGGAUGGACCCUUGUCCCCUUAUAUUGGAGGGUGGACCCUAGUCCACAGGUUUUGGAGGGUAGAUCCUAGUCCUAUUUUUUUUGGAGGGUGGACCCUAGUCCACUGGUUUUGCAGGGUUGAUCCUAGUCCACUUUUUUGGAGGGUGGAUCCUAGUCCCCUUAUGUUGGAGGAUGGACCCUAGUCCACUGGUGUUGGAGGAUGAAUCCUAGUCCACUGGUGUUGGAGGGUGGAUCCUAGUCCACUGGUGUUGGUGGAUGGACCCUAGUCCACUGGUGUUGGAGGAUGGAUCCUAGUCCACUGGUGUUGCAGGGUGGAUCCUAGUCCACGUUAUUGGAGGGUGGACCCUAGUGAACUGGUUUUGGGGGUUUUAUCCUAGUUUCCUUCUGGAGAAUGGACCCUGGUCCACUGGUUUUGGAGUGUGGAUCCUAGUCCACUGGUUUUGGGGGGUUUAUCCUAGUUCCCCUCUGGAGAAUGGACCCUAGUAGAC
Cherax quadricarinatus is the source of this 540-nucleotide non-coding RNA. NCBI's taxonomy places the organism in Eukaryota, Metazoa, Arthropoda, Malacostraca, Decapoda, Parastacidae. The record is from RefSeq and is a predicted model, not a curated record.